GUGGACUGCAGAAGUAUUUAAAUGAGCAAGGUUUUAAUAUUGUUGGAUAUGGCUGCACAACUUGUAUUGGGAAUUCUGGAGAUUUGGAUGAAUCAGUUUCUUCUGCUAUAUCAGAAAAUGACAUUGUUGCUGCUGCCGUACUCUCUGGAAAUCGAAACUUUGAGGGGCGUGUUCAUCCUUUGACGAGAGCUAACUACCUUGCUUCACCUCCUUUAGUGGUUGCCUAUGCUCUUGCUGGC
This 239-nucleotide unclassified non-coding RNA is filed under the name Hevea brasiliensis (rubber tree). The record is from RNAcentral. Lineage: Eukaryota; Viridiplantae; Streptophyta; Magnoliopsida; Malpighiales; Euphorbiaceae.